This 406-nucleotide ribosomal RNA is filed under the name uncultured bacterium. RNAcentral's name for it is "partial 16S ribosomal RNA". It matches the Rfam family "Bacterial small subunit ribosomal RNA", at positions 30 to 526 of the family's 1533-position model. The record is from RNAcentral.
AUUGAACGCUGGCGGUAGGCCUAACACAUGCAAGUCGAACGAGUGGCGGACGGGUGAGUAAUGUCUGGGAAACUGCCUUAUGGAGGGGGAUAACUACUGGAAACGGUAGCUAAUACCGCAUACCAUCAGAUGUGCCCAGAGGGGAUUGGCUAGUUGGUGGGGUAACGGCUCACCAAGGCGACGAUCCCUAGCUGGUCUGAGAGGAUGACCAGCCACACUGGAACGGAGACACGGUCCAGACUCCUACGGGAGGCAGCAGUGGGGAAUAUUGCACAAUGGGCGCAAGCCUGAUGCAGCCAUGCCGCGUGUAUGAAGAAGGCCUUCGGGUUGUAAUGUACUUUCAGCGGGGAGGCGUUACCCGCAGAAGAAGCACCGGCUAACUCCGUGCCAGCAGCCGCGGUAAUAC